Molecule: ribosomal RNA, 253 nt
Filed under: uncultured bacterium
Lineage: Bacteria
Description: partial 16S ribosomal RNA
Rfam family: Bacterial small subunit ribosomal RNA
Source: RNAcentral
GACAGAGGGUGCAAACGUUGUUCGGAAUUACUGGGCGUAAAGCGCGUGUAGGCUGCUCUGCAAGUCGGAUGUGAAAGCCCUGGGCUCAACCUAGGAAGUGCACUCGAAACUGCAGAGCUUGAGUCCUGGAGAGGAAGGCGGAAUUCCCGGUGUAGCGGUGAAAUGCGUAGAUAUCGGGAGGAACAUCAGUGGCGAAGGCGGCCUUCUGGUCCAGUACUGACACUCAAGUGCGAAAGCGUGGGGAGCAAACAGG